Molecule: unclassified non-coding RNA, 386 nt
Filed under: uncultured Paenibacillaceae bacterium
Lineage: Bacteria; Bacillati; Bacillota; Bacilli; Caryophanales; Paenibacillaceae
Description: contains 16S-23S intergenic spacer region
Source: RNAcentral
UCCGGUUUGUCACCGGCAGUCGUCUCCGAGUGCCCAACUCAAUGCUGGCAACAGAGACCAAGGGUUGCGCUCGUUGCGGGACUUAACCCAACAUCUCACGACACGAGCUGACGACAACCAUGCACCACCUGUCUCCUCUGGCCUGCCCUUCCAGGCAGGCCUACGACAUCUCUGCCGUAUUCAGAGGGAUGUCAAGACCUGGUAAGGUUCUUCGCGUUGCUUCGAAUUAAACCACAUGCUCCACUGCUUGUGCGGGUCCCCGUCAAUUCCUUUGAGUUUCAGUCUUGCGACCGUACUCCCCAGGCGGAAUGCUUAAUGUGUUAACUUCGGCACCAAGGAGUGAACCCCCCUGACACCUAGCAUUCAUCGUUUACGGCGUGGACUAC